Long non-coding RNA from Bradysia coprophila, 1196 nucleotides. The record is from RefSeq and is a predicted model, not a curated record. NCBI's taxonomy places the organism in Eukaryota, Metazoa, Arthropoda, Insecta, Diptera, Sciaridae.
CAUGUUGGCAAUGUCGAAAGUGGCAAACGGAACAUCAAAUAAACUCGGGAUUUAAACGUAGGUGGACGUAGGUCCACCUUCGUAGGUGGAAAACGAAUCGGAAGACGAAUCGGAUGGCAAUGCAAAAACGGAACGCACUCAUAUCAGAACACAAUAACUGGCGAAGAAAUGAAAAUUCUUCAAAAGUUACGCAACAUCGGAUUGAACAACAUCAGUGUUUCCGGUGUAGAUCUCGGUGUGCGGAAUAUGGCUGCAACUGUGAUUCGAACGUGGAACGAAUCCGGCAUUGCCGAGUCCAAUGUCAUACACAAAUCGAAAGACUACCAUUACAAAGCCGGUUUCAACAAACGUCGACGGAUUCUACAGAAAAUAACCAGUGAAUUCGACCGAAAAUAUCAAACCGACCGUCAAACCAAUGGAAACGAACCUUCGUCGAAAAAUGGCAACUUCCGGAAGUAUCUCCAUUCCCGACUCAAAUGGUUUACGGACAACGCAAAGUUGCUAAUUUGAAAUUCUCGAAAUACGUCGCCACACAACAACAAAUGAUGGUGAUGGAUUGGCAAUGAAACGAAGCCAUGUCACUGUCACAUUGUCAUCAUGGGUGACUGAUCCACACCAGCAAAUUCGACUAUACGCGGUUACUUGCGUUCGCCAGGUGAAAAACGAUUGACACAAGCAUUGAAACAAAUUCCCAAUACAUGAGUCUUCACUCAAGAUGAAUGUUGAUCUACAAAGAAUUGUAGCAAAUGCUACAACGAGCCGGACACUGUUGAGUCUACCAAAGUCAGGCUUGAAAUUUGCACCAAAAUUUGUAAGCUGCUUGGUGAUUCCAUGCCAGCAGAAAACAUCACAACGAAUAGAUCAAAACGAUCCGUCAGGGAUGCAGUAGCAAAUAUCGGUACGAAACCAUCCCAGUUCGAACGAGCGCAAUGGUCGGACACACUACAACAGAGAUAUAAACGCUGCACGAAACAUCAUGAAUCUAGGACUGUGGCGUUUUGGGCAAUACAUCGAUUCGUCCCUUCCUGCCAUCGAGAAUACAGCAUUCUCUCGCACAGGAUGGAAAAGAUUUUAUCGAUCGUAAUACGUCAAAAUCAUCCACAGAAACUAAAAAAAAUGUUAAAAUAAUUGAUUAUUUUCAUGCAAAAACAAUCGUCAGCCAUAACUAACACAUAUACCUUGAUGAAUUACAUAAA